ACGGAGGGUGCGAGCGUUAAUCGGAAUUACUGGGCGUAAAGCGCACGCAGGCGGCUUGUUAAGCUAGAGGUGAAAGCCCCGCGCUCAACGUGGGAACUGCCUUUAGAACUGGCAGGCUAGAGUCUUGGAGAGGGGAGUGGAAUUCCAGGUGUAGCGGUGAAAUGCGUAGAUAUCUGGAGGAACAUCAGUGGCGAAGGCGGCUCCUGCGAACAACUGCA
Molecule: ribosomal RNA, 218 nt
Filed under: uncultured bacterium
Lineage: Bacteria
Description: partial 16S ribosomal RNA
Rfam family: Bacterial small subunit ribosomal RNA
Source: RNAcentral